RNAcentral lists this ribosomal RNA (253 nucleotides) under uncultured bacterium. RNAcentral's name for it is "partial 16S ribosomal RNA". It matches the Rfam family "Bacterial small subunit ribosomal RNA", at positions 524 to 776 of the family's 1533-position model. The record is from RNAcentral.
GACAGAGGGUGCAAACGUUGUUCGGAAUUACUGGGCGUAAAGCGCACGUAGGCGGAUAUUUAAGUCAGGGGUGAAAUCCCGGGGCUCAACCCCGGAACUGCCUUUGAUACUGGGUAUCUCGAGUCCGAGAGAGGUGAGUGGAAUUCCGAGUGUAUAGGUGAAAUUCGUAGAUAUUCGGAGGAACACCAGUGGCGAAGGCGGCUCACUGGCUCGGUACUGACGCUGAGGUGCGAAAGCGUGGGGAGCAAACAGG